UAACUGGCGGCAGGCUUACCAUGCUAGUCCAACGAUGAAAUCUAGCUUGCUAGAUGGAUUAGUGGCGAACGGGUGAGUAAUGCUUAGGAAUCUGCCUAUUAGUGGGGGAUAACCAUCCGAAAGGAUGGCUAAUACCGCAUACGUCUUACGAGAGAAAGGGGGCUUUUAGCUCUCGCUAAUAGAUGAGCCUAAGUCGGAUUAGCUAGUUGGUGGGGUAAAGGCCUACCAAGGCGACGAUCUGUAGCUGGUCUGAGAGGAUGAUCAGCCACACUGGGACUGAGACACGGCCCAGACUCCUACGGGAGGCAGCAGUGGGGAAUAUUGGACAAUGGGCGAAAGCCUGAUCCAGCCAUGCCGCGUGUGUGAAGAAGGCCUUUUGGUUGUAAAGCACUUUAAGUGGGGAGGAAAAGCUUGUGGUUAAUACCCAUUAGCCCUGACGUUACCCACAGAAUAAGCACCGGCUAACUCUGUGCCAGCAGCCGCGGUAAU
RNAcentral lists this ribosomal RNA (489 nucleotides) under uncultured bacterium. Its description in RNAcentral is "bacterial SSU rRNA". It matches the Rfam family "Bacterial small subunit ribosomal RNA", at positions 36 to 524 of the family's 1533-position model. The record is from RNAcentral.